RNAcentral lists this ribosomal RNA (460 nucleotides) under uncultured bacterium. RNAcentral describes it as "partial 16S ribosomal RNA". It matches the Rfam family "Bacterial small subunit ribosomal RNA", at positions 338 to 795 of the family's 1533-position model. The record is from RNAcentral.
CCUACGGGUGGCAGCAGUGAGGAAUAUUGGUCAAUGGCCGUAAGGCUGAACCAGCCAAGUCGCGUGAAGGAAGAAGGUUCUCUGGUUUGUAAACUUCUUUUAUCGGGGAAUAAAAGUAUCAACGUGUAGAGAUUUGCAUGUACCCUAUGAAUAAGCAUCGGCUAACUCCGUGCCAGCAGCCGCGGUAAUACGGAGGAUGCGAGCGUUAUCCGGAUUUAUUGGGUUUAAAGGGUGCGUAGGUUGUUUUUUAAGUCAGCGGGGAAAGUUUGUGGCUCAACCAUCAGAUUGACGUUGAAACUGGAUGACUUGAGUGUGUUUGAAGUAGGCGGAAUGCGGGGUGUAGCGGUGAAAUGCAGAGAUAUCACGCAGAACUCCGAUUGCGAAGGCAGCUUACUAAGCCAUAACUGACGCUGAAGCACGAAAGCGUGGGUAUCAAACAGGAUUAGAUACCCGAGUAGUC